Molecule: ribosomal RNA, 372 nt
Filed under: uncultured organism
Description: bacterial SSU rRNA
Rfam family: Bacterial small subunit ribosomal RNA
Source: RNAcentral
CAGAGGUGGCAAGCGUUGUUCGGAAUUACUGGGCGUAAAGGGCGCGUAGGCGGCCUACUAAGUCAGACGUGAAAUCCCCCGGCUUAACCUGGGAACUGCGUCUGAUACUGGAAGGCUAGAGUAUGGGAGAGGGAUGUAGAAUUCCAGGUGUAGCGGUGAAAUGCGUAGAUAUCUGGAGGAAUACCGGUGGCGAAGGCGGCAUCCUGGACCAUUACUGACGCUGAGGCGCGAAAGCUAGGGGAGCAAACGGGAUUAGAUACCCCGGUAGUCCUAGCCCUAAACGAUGAAUGCUUGGUGUGGCGGGUAUCGAUCCCUGCCGUGCCGAAGCUAACGCAUUAAGCAUUCCGCCUGGGGAGUACGGUCGCAAGGCUG